This 330-nucleotide ribosomal RNA is filed under the name uncultured bacterium. RNAcentral's name for it is "bacterial SSU rRNA". It matches the Rfam family "Bacterial small subunit ribosomal RNA", at positions 18 to 344 of the family's 1533-position model. The record is from RNAcentral.
CAUGGCUCAGAUUGAACGCUGGCGGCAUGCCUAACACAUGCAAGUCGAACGGCAGCACAGAGGAGCUUGCUCCUUGGGUGGCGAGUGGCGGACGGGUGAGUAAUGCAUCGGGAUCUACCCUGACGUGGGGGAUAACCUCGGGAAACCGGGACUAAUACCGCAUACGUCCUACGGGAGAAAGCGGGGGACCUUCGGGCCUCGCGCGGCAGGACGAACCGAUGUGCGAUUAGCUAGUUGGCGGGGUAAUGGCCCACCAAGGCGACGAUCGCUAGCUGGUCUGAGAGGAUGAUCAGCCACACUGGGACUGAGACACGGCCCAGACUCCUACGG